CUACGGGCCGCAGCAGUGGGGAAUAUUGCACAAUGGGCGCAAGCCUGAUGCAGCCAUGCCGCGUGUGUGAAGAAGGCCUUCGGGUUGUAAAGCACUUUCAGUAGGGAGGAAGGCCUCGUAGUUAAUACCUGCGAGGAUUGACGUUACCUACAGAAGAAGCACCGGCUAACUCAGUGCCAGCAGCCGCGGUAAUACUGAGGGUGCAAGCGUUAAUCGGAAUUACUGGGCGUAAAGCGCGCGUAGGCGGCUUGUUAAGCCAGAUGUGAAAGCCCCGGGCUCAACCUGGGAACUGCAUUUGGAACUGGCUAGCUAGAGUACAGUAGAGGGUGGUGGAAUUUCCAGUGUAGCGGUGAAAUGCGUAGAGAUUGGAAGGAACAUCAGUGGCGAAGGCGGCCACCUGGACUGAUACCGACGCUGAGGUGCGAAAGCGUGGGGAGCAAACAGGAUUAGAUACCCUUGUAGUC
Molecule: ribosomal RNA, 464 nt
Filed under: uncultured bacterium
Lineage: Bacteria
Description: partial 16S ribosomal RNA
Rfam family: Bacterial small subunit ribosomal RNA
Source: RNAcentral